CCUACGGGAGGCAGCAGUGAGGAAUAUUGGUCAAUGGGCGCGAGCCUGAACCAGCCAAGUAGCGUGAAGGAUGACUGCCCUACGGGUUGUAAACUUCUUUUAUAAGGGAGUAAAGUGAGGCACGUGUGCCAUUUUGUAUGUACUUUAUGAGUAAGGAUCGGCUAACUACGGUCCAGCAGCCGCGGUAAUACGGAGGAUCCGAGCGUUAUCCGGAUUUAUUGGGUUUAAAGGGAGCGUAGAUGGGUUGUUAAGUCAGUUGUGAAAGUUUGCGGCUCAACCGUAAAAUUGCAAUUGAUACUGGCAGGCUUGAGUACAGUUGAGGUAGGCGGAAUUCGUGGUGUAGCGGUGAAAUGCUUAGAUAUCACGAAGAACUCCGAUUGCGAAGGCAGCUUACUAAACUGCCACUGACAUUGAUGCUCGAAAGUGUGGGUAUCAAACAGGAUUAGAUACCCCAGUAGUC
Molecule: ribosomal RNA, 460 nt
Filed under: uncultured bacterium
Lineage: Bacteria
Description: partial 16S ribosomal RNA
Rfam family: Bacterial small subunit ribosomal RNA
Source: RNAcentral